This 331-nucleotide ribosomal RNA is filed under the name uncultured bacterium. Its description in RNAcentral is "bacterial SSU rRNA". It matches the Rfam family "Bacterial small subunit ribosomal RNA", at positions 43 to 373 of the family's 1533-position model. The record is from RNAcentral.
AUUCAGGCCUAACACAUGCAAGUCGAGCGGUAGAGAGAAGCUUGCUUCUCAAGAAAAAGGCGGACGGGUGAGUAAUGCCUAGGAAUCUGCCUGGUAGUGGGGGAUAACGUUCGGAAACGGACGCUAAUACCGCAUACGUCCUACGGGAGAAAGCAGGGGACCUUCGGGCCUUGCGCUAUCAGAUGAGCCUAGGUCGGAUUAGCUAGUUGGUGAGGUAAUGGCUCACCAAGGCUACGAUCCGUAACUGGUCUGAGAGGAUGAUCAGUCACACUGGAAGGGAGACACGGUCCAGACUCCUACGGGAGGCAGCAGUGGGGAAUAUUGGACAAUG